UUUCCGUAGGUGAACCUGCGGAAGGAUCAUUACUGAGUUUUGGAUGAAGUUGUUCUGGUCUUUCAGGGCAAGUGAACGCUUCUCUCAAUCCAUCUUACACCUGUGCACCUAUCGGGGAAGACUUGGAUCUAAGUUGGGUCACGACGGCGAUCUACAGUCUCCUCUUUAUACCAAAUAACAGUUUUAGAAAGUCUUUUUUGCUUGAUGCAAACUUAAAUAAAUACAACUUUCAGCAACGGAUCUCUUGGCUCUC
This 253-nucleotide unclassified non-coding RNA is filed under the name plant metagenome. Its description in RNAcentral is "partial contains small subunit ribosomal RNA, internal transcribed spacer 1, and 5.8S ribosomal RNA". The record is from RNAcentral.